GUGGGGAAUUUUGGACAAUGGGGGCAACCCUGAUCCAGCCAUGCCGCGUGCGGGAAGAAGGCCUUCGGGUUGUAAACCGCUUUUAUCCGGAAAGAAGGAGUCAAGGCUAAUACCCUUGAUGACAGACGGUACCGGAGGAAUAAGCACCGGCUAACUACGUGCCAGCAGCCGCGGUAAUACGUAGGGUGCGAGCGUUAAUCGGAAUUACUGGGCGUAAAGCGUGCGCAGGCGGUUCGUUAAGUCAGCUGUGAAAGCCCCGGGCUCAACCUGGGAACUGCGGUUGAAACUGGCGAACUAGAAUCUGGCAGAGGGGGGUGGAAUUCCACGUGUAGCAGUGAAAUGCGUAGAGAUGUGGAGGAACACCGAUGGCGAAGGCAGCCCCCUGGGCUGAGAUUGACGCUCAGGCACGAAAGCGUGGGGAGCAAACAGGAUUAGAAACCCGAGUAGUCC
Molecule: ribosomal RNA, 450 nt
Filed under: uncultured bacterium
Lineage: Bacteria
Description: bacterial SSU rRNA
Rfam family: Bacterial small subunit ribosomal RNA
Source: RNAcentral